This 301-nucleotide ribosomal RNA is filed under the name uncultured bacterium. RNAcentral's name for it is "partial 16S ribosomal RNA". It matches the Rfam family "Bacterial small subunit ribosomal RNA", at positions 509 to 807 of the family's 1533-position model. The record is from RNAcentral.
CAGUAGCCACGGGAAUACGAAGGGGGCUAGCGUUGUUCGGAAUUACUGGGCGUAAAGCGCACGUAGGCGGAUUGUUAAGUUAGGGGUGAAAGCCCAGGGCUCAACCUUGGAACUGCCUUCGAUACUGGACAUCUUGAGUAUGGGAGAGGUGAGUGGAACUCCGAGUGUAGAGGUGAAGUUCGUAGAUAUUCGGAAGAACACCAGUGGCGAAGGCGACUCACUGGCCCAUUACUGACGCUGAGGCGCGAAAGCGUGGGGAGCAAACAGGAUUAGAUACCCCAGUAGUCCCUGUCUCUUAUAC